UGGAAGAAACAGUAAAAAUGUCCAUCUGCUCUACUUUCUUCGUUAGUUAGAAGAGAAAUGAAAAAGUGAUGGGUCCCACCAAUUUCAGUCUCUCUUUCUUAUUUCUUCGAUCAACCAAGCAGCCUAAAUAUCCAACUUCUUUCAUACUUCUCUCGUCUCUUAUUCUCUCUCUUCAUUUUCUAGCACAGCCUAAAAGUUUGAAAGAAAACAAAUUAAACACUGUGGCAGCAGAAGAACAAGGAGCGGAGAAGGUGAAGCUUGACGGCGGCUCACCGAAGCUUACAGCGGCUGGAGCUCCUCCGGCACGGUGGUCGGAGGUGAGAAUUUCCCGAAUGCAAUUUUUUUACAUAUCUGGGUUCGGUUUCUUCUCCUCUUUUCAAAUCUCAAGUUUAUUUUUGAAAACAAACAAGCAAAAUUCGUAGAUCUAAAAAAGAAACUUCGAAAAUCUUGAGUUUAAACAACAAAAUCAACACAAAGCAGUAGAACAAGAUAGGAUUCGGAAUCAGAGGGAGAUUAUCAACCUUCUGGAGUAAAAGAAAUGAAAGAUGGCCUCGGUUUAAAGCUCAGUCACGGCGGUUUAUCACCUCCGGCGCGGUGGCUCUGGUUUUCCGGUGAGAGUUUCUGGCGAGGUGACAAAUUCAGUGUUCUUGAGACUCAAUUUGGGCCUUAAAGGUUCUGAAUUUUUGCUUGUUGGUGUGAAUGAAUGUUACUACAGCCACCCGAAAAUCCUUUAUUCCAGUCCAAUCUCUCACUUUUUUUUAUUGUAAUUGUGAUACCAAAUCAAAUUAAACUUGGGACUGACUUUGUGAAUUUGUUGUUUGAAUUGAGGAUCAAUGAAGUGUGGUUGGUGUUAUUUUGAAAUGUAAAACUAUGGUUGAAUUCCUUUGUUGAGUGAAACCGUGGGAGCUUGUGCAUGAAACCGUGAACUUGGCUGGGAGUCUCCACAUGGGCUUGUAAUUCACCUAUUUCAUGAAGGUCAGAACAAAACAUGUAAAAAACAAACUCAACAAAUAGUCACAUAUGAGAGUUCCUACCCAUCCAGCUCUUGUUUCUUUUCUCUUCAUCUUCGGUAAAUCAAUGCUCUUUGUUUAACAAUGGCUUAUGUUCAUUUUUCGUUGCAUUCUUUAUUAUCAAUCUCAUUUAAUCUAACAUACUACAUGUUAACAGAAUACAUGCCAUUGAGUCAAAAUAAUUUUUUCUUACUUUGAUAUGAUGAGAAAGCAAGAGUUUAAGUUAGUUUUGAUAACAUUUGGUUUCCAAGUCAGAGUGAGGUGUGACUAACUUAAACUCUUGCUUUCUCAUCAUAUCAAAGUAAGAAAAAAUUAUUUUGACUCAAUGGCAUGUAUUCUGUUAACACGUAGUAUGUUAGAUUAAAUGAGAUUGACAAUAAAGAAUGCAACGGAGAAUGAACAUAAGCCAUUGUUUAACAAAGAGCACCGAUUUACCGAAGAUGAAGAGAAAAGAAACAAGAGCUGGAUGUGUAGGAACUCUCAUAUGUGACUAUUUGUUGAGUUUGUUUUUUACAUGUUUUAUUCUAAUCUUCAUGAAAUAGGUGAAUUACAAGCCCUCCCACGGUUUCACUCAACAAAGGAAUUCAACCAUAGUUUUACAUUUCAAAAUAACACCAACCACACUUCAUUGAUCCUCAAUUCAAACAAAGAUGUGGGAUUUAGCAAUUGUUUCAAUUCGCUUAACUUUAUUAGAGACAUUCAUCAAUUAUUUCAGUUAGAUCAUAAAUUUUAGUUUUAUAAACACUAAAACUGGUUUGAAAUAAAAAGAUGUGGGAUUUUUUUGA
Molecule: long non-coding RNA, 1795 nt
Organism: Vicia villosa (hairy vetch)
Lineage: Eukaryota; Viridiplantae; Streptophyta; Magnoliopsida; Fabales; Fabaceae
Exons: 2
Source: RefSeq, a predicted model, not a curated record